CCUUCGUUCGAGGUCUAACGCAUGAAAAGACCUUGUUCUGGGCGAUUUUUCAGGCUGCCUUGGAAGGGGGCAUUUAACCCGAUUUGAUCUCCACCGAAUGCAUCGGGCCGAUUCUCUGCCGCGGGGGAACCACGCCGCCCGCCCUGCGGUUUCCAGGCACUUUGAGAAAGAUUCCUUUUGAUGUCCCUGGGAGCUCUGUUUCCAGAGCGGCCACAGCCCGGGAACUGCACAGGGACUGGAGAGCCAGGGGUCAAGUCCAGGUUCUGGGGACGCUGCUCUAGGAGGGGUGGAUGGAGUUCUCACCCGCGGAGCUGAAGAAUGCCCCUGGCUCAGGGAAGUUGUAGCCACGGUGACGUAGCACAGCCAGCGCCUGGCGUGUGGGGCGAUGCCCUUGUCUGACUGCGCCUACGUGAGGUCACAUAAAACAGGGCACUUAGGAUUAGGUGCGCGGUGCUCCGCAAUGACGGUAAGCAGCGCUGCUGUGUGUUCUAUACGGCUCUCAUCCUCGGCCCAGUGUCUCCUGCUGAUCAGGGAGAACUUUUGCUGGAAACGGUGCACACCGCCUUCCCCAGUGGCAGCCCCGGGCAUCUCGUGCUCCUACAUCUCUGGAUCCAUCAAGAGGCAGAAGCAGCAUCUGAUCAUGUGGCGGAGUCACUUGUGAAACAAGCUGAAGGAGACUUAUUAACCAGAAAACCCCGGAGCCGACUUCCUCGGUGACUCCUCAGAUCCAGGGUCGUGUUUCUUUCACAGCCAGCAGCUCUGCUCUGCAUUUGACCCCGGCUGGACUGAGUUAUUCUGGAUCUGUUCUCGUGACUCUGGGGCUUAAAAUAGUCUCUGCUGAGCCAUCUGCCUGGGGACCCAUCUCACUCCUGAGAGGUGUAGCAGCUGGGGCAGAGCUGAGCGUGGCUCCUGUUAAGAAAGUGAACAAUCUCUGGGCUUCGCUCCAUCCUGUGAGUGCGCCCAGGGGAGAAAAUAAAACAGAGGGCAUUUGGCUGCCAGAGAAGAGUAAGAGCUUAAGGAGAGAACCCGGGAGAGGCCAGGGAGAGGGAACAGGGGAGCCGGGCAGCUGACGGAGACUGGAAGGCAGCCAGGUUGAGCCAAGUUCAAGCGAGGAUCUGCCAGUGGAGGCGGUGGGGGAAAAGAGGCUCCGGAACAGCCCAGCAGCCCCGCAGCAGGAAAGGGCGUGGAGUCCCGGGGCUCAGAGGCCCUGAGAUGAGGACUCCCCRACUGACCACGGAGGCUGUCACUCUGUGGCCGUCUCUGACCUGGAGUGACUCAUCCUGGGCUUUCUCACCCUUGAAGGAGGUUCACCACAGCUCUCUCGGGUCGCAAGGGAGGACCCGAGGGCACAGGAAAGAACUAGAUCCUCUGUACAGAAGAAGUGAGAUGCCCUCCUCCGCACGUUGGCCYGGGUGGUGACUGUGACCUUUGGUUCUGCUCCCUGGUGCGGGGUUCAGGGCAAGUGCACCCAGACACAUCUGGAGUGACUCAAAUCAGUAAGUGCCUCCUAACCAUGUGUCAAGAGUAUCAUCCAAAAGCCUGGCCAAGCCGGAACAGCUGUUGUCUUCUUCUAGAAAGUUCCAGAGGUGACCUUCUAGUAAAGACACUCAAGUCGGAACAACAAGACCAACUGCAGCCCCCGGCAGGACUGCAGCCCAGGGGAGAGGUCACUCGCCGGUGCMUAACCCAAGGCAGGCUCGUCCCAGUGGAGGGGGCGCAGGCUCGGGGAAGGUGCCUGCCUUCCAUCUCUGCCUCCUGAGGCUUCCAAAGGCUUCUGUCUACAGGGGCUAAAAGUCGGACCUAAAUUUCCCCCACCACCUCCACAGGCUUUGGAAUGUUACUCAAUCUCUCCUCUAGGCUACACUGUCUCAUCUGCAAAAUGGGUGAUAGAGCUCCUUACUUAACGGGACCUUUACAGCAGGGGUCAGCAAGUACCAGCCUGAGGGCAAACUCACCCUUCUGCCUAUUAUCCUAAAUAAAGUUUUAUUGGA
Molecule: non-coding RNA, 1991 nt
Organism: Urocitellus parryii (Arctic ground squirrel)
Lineage: Eukaryota; Metazoa; Chordata; Mammalia; Rodentia; Sciuridae
Source: RefSeq, a predicted model, not a curated record